RNAcentral lists this ribosomal RNA (440 nucleotides) under uncultured bacterium. RNAcentral describes it as "partial 16S ribosomal RNA". It matches the Rfam family "Bacterial small subunit ribosomal RNA", at positions 338 to 795 of the family's 1533-position model. The record is from RNAcentral.
CCUACGGGAGGCAGCAGUGGGGGAUAUUGCACAAUGGGGGAAACCCUGAUGCAGCGACGCCGCGUGUGGGAAGACGGUCCUCUGGAUUGUAAACCACUGUCCCCAGGGACGAAGAUGACGGUACCUGGGGAGGAAGCUCCGGCUAACUACGUGCCAGCAGCCGCGGUAAUACGUAGGGGGCGAGCGUUGUCCGGAAUUACUGGGUGUAAAGGGAGCGUAGGCGGGACUGCAAGUUGGGUGUCAAAUCUACGGGCUCAACCGGUAGCCGCACUGAAAACUGCAGUUCUUGAGUGAAGUAGAGGCAGGCGGAAUUCCUAGUGUAGCGGUGAAAUGCGUAGAUAUUAGGAGGAACACCAGUGGCGAAGGCGGCCUGCUGGGCUUUUACUGACGCUGAGGCUCGAAAGUGUGGGGAGCAAACAGGAUUAGAUACCCCAGUAGUC